UAACAAAUGCCUCCAACGGGCAGCUGUGAGGAAGAGCAAAACUAACCCUGCCAGGUCCUAGAACCUUUCAGAUUCACCGCGGUGAAUUUGAUACAUAAGGCAAAGCGCCUUGAGAAAUGAAUCAUCUGUAUUUUCUCCUUAUAAUCACUCCCUCCCGGGGCAUGUAAUUAAUUUCCUGAGGUUUGAAAAAAA
This 192-nucleotide long non-coding RNA is filed under the name Mus caroli (Ryukyu mouse). Its description in RNAcentral is "sRNA (MGP_CAROLIEiJ_G0008544.1)". It matches the Rfam family "Prostate androgen-regulated transcript 1 conserved region 1". The record is from RNAcentral. Lineage: Eukaryota; Metazoa; Chordata; Mammalia; Rodentia; Muridae.